GCCUAACACAUGCAAGUCGAGCGGAAACGGCAGUAUUGAAGCUUCGGUGGAUUUACUGGACGUCGAGCGGCGGACGGGUGAGUAACGGCUGGGAACCUGCCCUGACGAGGGGGAUAACCGUUGGAAACGACGGCUAAUACCGCAUAAUGUCUACGGACCAAAGGUGGCCUCUACAUGUAAGCUAUCGCGUUGGGAUGGGCCCAGUUAGGAUUAGCUAGUUGGUAAGGUAACGGCUUACCAAGGCGACGAUCCUUAGCUGGUUUGAGAGGAUGAUCAGCCACACUGGGACUGAGACACGGCCCAGACUCCUACGGGAGGCAGCAGUGGGGAAUAUUGCACAAUGGGGGAGACCCUGAUGCAGCCAUGCCGCGUGUGUGAAGAAGGCCUUCGGGUUGUAAAGCACUUUCAGCAGUGAGGAAGGUAGUGUACUUAAUACGUGCAUUGCUUGACGUUAGCUGCAGAAGAAGCACCGGCUAACUCCGUGCCAGCAGCCGCGGUAAUACGGAGGGUGCGAGCGUUAAUCGGAAUUACUGGGCGUAAAGCGCAUGCAGGCGGUUUGUUAAGUCAGAUGUGAAAGCCCGGGGCUCAACCUCGGAACCGCAUUUGAAACUGGCAGGCUAGAGUCUUGUAGAGGGGGGUAGAAUUUCAGGUGUAGCGGUGAAAUGCGUAGAGAUCUGAAGGAAUACCAGUGGCGAAGGCGGCCCCCUGGACAAAGACUGACGCUCAGAUGCGAAAGCGUGGGUAGCAAACAGGAUUAGAUACCCUGGUAGUCCACGCCGUAAACGAUGUCUACUUGGAGG
RNAcentral lists this ribosomal RNA (800 nucleotides) under Salinivibrio sp. JSM 073077. Its description in RNAcentral is "bacterial SSU rRNA". It matches the Rfam family "Bacterial small subunit ribosomal RNA", at positions 46 to 823 of the family's 1533-position model. Lineage: Bacteria; Pseudomonadati; Pseudomonadota; Gammaproteobacteria; Vibrionales; Vibrionaceae. The record is from RNAcentral.